Non-coding RNA from Ixodes scapularis (black-legged tick), 73 nucleotides. NCBI's taxonomy places the organism in Eukaryota, Metazoa, Arthropoda, Arachnida, Ixodida, Ixodidae. The record is from Rfam.
CCAUGGUUGGCUCAGUUGGUAGAGCGCUCCACUAGAAAUGGAGAGGUCCCGGGUUCGAUAACCGGACCAGGCG